CCUACGGGGUGCUGCAGUGGGGAAUAUUGCACAAUGGGGGAAACCCUGAUGCAGCGACGCCGCGUGAGUGAAGAAGUAUCUCGGUACGUAAAGCUCUAUCAGCAGGGAAGAUAAUGACGGUACCUGACCAAGAAGCCCCGGCUAACUACGUGCCAGCAGCCGCGGUAAUACGUAGGUGGCAAGCGUUGUCCGGAUUUACUGGGUGUAAAGGGCGUGCAGCCGGAGAGACAAGGCAGAUGUGAAAUCCACGGGCUCAACCCGUGAACUGCAUUUGAAACUGUUUCCCUUGAGGGUCGGAGAGGUAAUCGGAAUUCCUUGUGUAGUGGUGAAAUGCGUAGAUAUAAGGAAGAACACCAGUGGCGAAGGCGGAUUACUGGACGAUAACUGACGGUGAGGCGCGAAAGCGUGGGGAGCAAACAGGAUUAGAUACCCCGGUAGUC
Molecule: ribosomal RNA, 440 nt
Filed under: uncultured bacterium
Lineage: Bacteria
Description: partial 16S ribosomal RNA
Rfam family: Bacterial small subunit ribosomal RNA
Source: RNAcentral